GGUUUGAUCCUGGUCAGAUUUCGCUGGCGGGAUGCUUUGCAUACAUGCAAGUCGAAACGGGCACGGACUUCGGUCUGGUGGCGAGUGGCGAACGGUGGAGUAAUGCAUCAGAACGUGCCUAGCGGGGGAUAACGCCACGCUGAAAGCGUAGCUACGUCGCACGCUUGCCCUCGGGGAAAGCGGGGACCUUCGGGCCUCGCACCAGAGCGGCCGAUAUCGGAUUAGGCUAUUGGUGGGGGCAACGGUCACAAGACGAUCCGCAGCUGUUUGAGGACGACCAGCCACACUGGGACUGAGAUAUCGGCCCAGACUCCUACGGGAGGCAGCAGUGGGGAAUUUUUGACAAUGGGGGGAAAUCCCGAUCUGUGCCAUCCUUCGCGUAAAGUGGCGAUGAAGGCCUUCGGGUUGUAAAAAGCACUUUUGGCAUAAGUGAAAGAAAACGGCAUCGAUAAUACCCCGUGCAACUGACGGUACCUGCAGAAUAAGCACUGGCUAACUACGUGCCAGCAGCCGCGGCAAUACGUAGGGUGCAAGCGUUAACUGAACAUUGGGCGUAAAGCGUGCGCAGGCGGUUCGAAAAGAAAAGAGGAAAUCCCAGAGCCAACUUGUCCGCAUUUUUAACUACCGAGCGAGAGUGUGUCAGAGGAGGUGGAAUUCCGCGUGUAGCAGUGAAAUGCGUAGAUAUGCGGAGGAACAUCGAUGGCGAAGGCAGCCUCCUGGGAUAACACUGACGCUCAUGCACGAAAGCGGGGGAGCAACAGAUUAGACACUCCUGUGUAGUCCCACGCCCUAAACGAUGUCAACUAGUUGCUGGGGCCUUCGGGCCUGGUAGCGCAGCUAAUCGCGUGAAGUUGACCGCCUGGGAGUAUUACAGUAUCGCAGAUUAAAACUCAAAGGAAUUGACGGGGACCCGCAUGUGUUGUGGAUGAUGUAUUAAUUCGAUGUGCAACUGCGAAAAACCUUGUCUACCUUGCGGACAUGUCUGAAUCCGAAUAUAUUUGGGAGUGCCUGCAAGAGAACCGAACACAGGUGCUGUAUGGCUGUCGUCACCGUAAGCGAGAUGUUGCAGCUGGCGUCCCAACGAGCGCAACCUUGUCAUUAGUUGCUACGAAAGGGCAAUUUAGCACGAGACUGCCGGUGACAAACUGGAGGAAGGGGGAUGACGUCAAAUCCUCAUGGCCCUUGCGGGGUAGUGGCUCUACAUUGGCGGUCGGUCGGGGACAGAGGGUCGCCAACCCGGCGAGGGGGAGCCAAUCCCAGAAACCCGAUCGUAGUCCGGAUCGCAGUCUGCAACUCGACUGCGUGAAGUCGGAAUCGCCGGCAUCUUCCAGAUCAGCAGCGUCGCGUGAAUACGUUCCUGGCCUGAAGACACCGCCCGUCACACCAUGGGAGUGGGUUUUACCAGAAGCAGUUAGCCCAACGUAAGGAGGCUAUCAUCACUGGUGAUUCCAUGACUGUGCAGUCGCAAUGAAGGCAG
This 1477-nucleotide ribosomal RNA is filed under the name uncultured Bordetella sp. RNAcentral describes it as "partial 16S-23S ribosomal RNA intergenic spacer". It matches the Rfam family "Bacterial small subunit ribosomal RNA". The record is from RNAcentral. Lineage: Bacteria; Pseudomonadati; Pseudomonadota; Betaproteobacteria; Burkholderiales; Alcaligenaceae.